RNAcentral lists this microRNA precursor (75 nucleotides) under Myotis davidii. Its description in RNAcentral is "mir-9193 microRNA precursor family". It matches the Rfam family "mir-9193 microRNA precursor family". The record is from Rfam by way of RNAcentral. Lineage: Eukaryota; Metazoa; Chordata; Mammalia; Chiroptera; Vespertilionidae.
CUUGCAGGGGCGGGAUCCCUCAGCAAAGAUUGCGAGAGGGUGCAGGCCAGGCUGAGGGACCCCCACUGGUGCAUG